This 373-nucleotide ribosomal RNA is filed under the name uncultured bacterium. RNAcentral describes it as "bacterial SSU rRNA". It matches the Rfam family "Bacterial small subunit ribosomal RNA", at positions 521 to 896 of the family's 1533-position model. The record is from RNAcentral.
UAAUACGGAGGGUGCAAGCGUUGUCCGGAUUUAUUGGGUUUAAAGGGUGCGUAGGUGGCCUGUUAAGUCCGGGGUGAAAGCCCACAGCUCAACUGUGGAACUGCCCUGGAUACUGGCGGGCUUGAGUCCAGACGAGGUUGGCGGAAUGGAUGCUGUAGCGGUGAAAUGCAUAGAUAGCAUCCAGAACCCCGAUUGCGUAGGCAGCUGACUAGGCUGGUACUGACACUGAGGCACGAAAGCGUGGGGAGCGAACAGGAUUAGAUACCCUGGUAGUCCACGCCGUAAACGAUGGAUACUCGCUGGCAGCGAUACACUGUUGCUGGCUUAGCGAAAGCGGUAAGUAUCCCACCUGGGGAGUACGCUCGCAAGAGUG